UGGGGAAUUUUGGACAAUGGGGGAAACCCUGAUCCAGCCAUCCCGCGUGUGCGAUGAAGGCCUUCGGGUUGUAAAGCACUUUUGGCAGGAAAGAAACGUCAUGGGUUAAUACCCCGUGAAACUGACGGUACCUGCAGAAUAAGCACCGGCUAACUACGUGCCAGCAGCCGCGGUAAUACGUAGGGUGCAAGCGUUAAUCGGAAUUACUGGGCGUAAAGCGUGCGCAGGCGGUUCGGAAAGAAAGAUGUGAAAUCCCAGAGCUCAACUUUGGAACUGCAUUAUUAACUACCGGGCUAGAGGGUGUCAGAGGGAGGUGGAAUUCCGCGUGGAGCAGUGAAAUGCGUAGAUAUGCGGAGGAACACCGAUGGCGAAGGCAGCCUCCUGGGAUAACACUGACGCUCAUGCACGAAAGCGUGGGGAGCAAACAGG
Molecule: ribosomal RNA, 429 nt
Filed under: Acidobacteriota bacterium
Lineage: Bacteria; Pseudomonadati; Acidobacteriota
Description: Acidobacteria bacterium partial 16S ribosomal RNA
Rfam family: Bacterial small subunit ribosomal RNA
Source: RNAcentral